RNAcentral lists this ribosomal RNA (668 nucleotides) under uncultured Peritrichia. RNAcentral describes it as "SSU rRNA". It matches the Rfam family "Eukaryotic small subunit ribosomal RNA", at positions 327 to 1020 of the family's 1831-position model. The record is from RNAcentral. Lineage: Eukaryota; Ciliophora; Oligohymenophorea.
GGUAGUGUAUUGGACUACCAUGGCAGUCACGGGUAACGGAGAAUUAGGGUUCGAUUCCGGAGAGGGAGCCUGAGAAACGGCUACCACAUCUACGGAAGGCAGCAGGCGCGCAAAUUGCCCAAUCCUGACACGGGGAGGCAGUGACAAGAAAUAACAACUCUAGGUUUUCUUAGAAGUGUAAUGAGGGUAACUUACAAACCUUACCGAAUGCAAUUGGAGGGCAAGUCUGGUGCCAGCAGCCGCGGUAAUUCCAGCUCCAAUAGCGUAUAUUAAAGUUGUUGCAGUUAAAAAGCUCGUAGUUGAAAUUCUGGACGUCCGGGUCUCCAGUCUUUAGGCGGGGAUACCGGCGUUCAUCCGCUUGCAAGCAUCCGUUCGCCCUUCACCAGGCGGCCAUGUGAGUAAGCAUUUUACCUUGAGAAAAACAGAGUGUUCCAGGCAGGUUUGUCCGGGAUGCAUUAGCAUGGAAUAAUAGAACAUGACUGAAGUCAAGUUAUUGGUUGUAGACUUUAGUAAUGAUUAAUAGGAACAGUCGGGGGCAUUCGUACUCAGCAGUCAGAGGUGAAAUUCUAAGAUUUGCUGAAGACGAACUAAUGCGAAAGCAUUUGCCAAGGAUGUUUUCAUUAAUCAAGAACGAAAGUUAGGGGAUCAAAGACGAUUAGAUACCGUCA